GACGCUGGCGGCGUGCCUAACACAUGCAAGUCGAACGGGGAUUUUGUUUCGGCAGAAUCCUAGUGGCGAACGGGUGAGUAACGCGUAGGCAACCUGCCCUCCGGCCGGGGACAACACUCCGAAAGGGGUGCUAAUACCGGAUACGAAGUCUGUGCCGCAUGGUACGGAUUUUGAAAGAUGGCCUCUAUUUAUAAGCUAUCGCCGGGGGAUGGGCCUGCGUCCGAUUAGCUGGUUGGUGGGGUAACGGCCUACCAAGGCGACGAUCGGUAGCCGGUCUGAGAGGAUGAACGGCCACAUUGGGACUGAGACACGGCCCAGACUCCUACGGGAGGCAGCAGUGGGGAAUCUUCCGCAAUGGGCGCAAGCCUGACGGAGCAACGCCGCCGUGAGUGAGGAAGUUCUUCGGAACGUAAAGCUCUGUUGUUCCUGACGAACCUCCCCUCUAUCAACAACGGAGGGGACUGACGGUAGGGAACGAGGAAGCCACGGCUAACUACGUGCCAGCCGCCGC
This 511-nucleotide ribosomal RNA is filed under the name uncultured bacterium. RNAcentral describes it as "bacterial SSU rRNA". It matches the Rfam family "Bacterial small subunit ribosomal RNA", at positions 33 to 518 of the family's 1533-position model. The record is from RNAcentral.